CGGGGUGUGGCUCAGCUUGGUAGAGCGCAUGGUUCGGGACCAUGAGGCCGGAGGUUCAAAUCCUCUCACUCCGA
Transfer RNA from Acetobacterium bakii, 74 nucleotides. It matches the Rfam family "tRNA". Rfam says of the family: Transfer RNA (tRNA) molecules are approximately 80 nucleotides in length. Their secondary structure includes four short double-helical elements and three loops (D, anti-codon, and T loops). NCBI's taxonomy places the organism in Bacteria, Bacillati, Bacillota, Clostridia, Eubacteriales, Eubacteriaceae. The record is from Rfam.